Molecule: microRNA, 22 nt
Filed under: Hippoglossus hippoglossus (Atlantic halibut)
Lineage: Eukaryota; Metazoa; Chordata; Actinopteri; Pleuronectiformes; Pleuronectidae
Description: hhi-miR-723
Gene: hhi-miR-723
Source: miRBase by way of RNAcentral
AAAUCUGUGCUUAUCCUUGCUU